UGUGUCUAUGGCUUGCAGGGCAGCAAGAGUUGUUCUGGAGAUGACUUUCCAGCAAUUUCUACCACGGAGCUGUGCAUAGGACUGCAGGCUGAGGCUCCCCAUUGCCCUGGGCAGCUUUCUGCCCUUCCCUGCAUGCAGGACUUGGCACCCUUGCAAGACUUGUUCCUCAGGCUGGUGUGCUGUGCGUGCUGCCAGCCCUGCGCCUGACUUCUUCCUAAUGACCUGGCUCAUGUUGGAACUCUCUUUAAGAGGAAAAAAAUGCUGUACAUCUUUCAGAAGAAUCUCAGAAGUGAUCUUUGCGCAUGUCAGCGGUUUGAAAGCAAGCAAAAGUCAUACAUAUUCUAGAACUUUCAGAAGAAAGAAGAGCUUUCUAUAUGAAAGAGACAGCACAGGGGCACGCAGAUGAACGUGCACAGCUUGUAAAGAAAAAGCACAAACUCCUCUCAGCAAUUUCUGAAGAGCAAGGAAGUUAACAAAAAAGAGAAAAUUGAUAGAAACAGACUGUCUUACUCAUACAAAUGCUGAAUACCAGCAAUUAAAGCAUUUACAAGAUGGCAUUCCUUGUUAAUACUUAUUCACAGACAGACUAUUCUUCCCCGUUCCCACAUAAUGUGCUUAUUGCUCGUGAUCCGGGAAGUUUGAAGUACUGCUUCUCCUGCAAAGGGUCACUUCUUUGAGUGAUUGGUAGUGAAUAC
RNAcentral lists this long non-coding RNA (695 nucleotides) under Phasianus colchicus (ring-necked pheasant). RNAcentral describes it as "lncRNA (ENSPCLG00000003773.1)". Lineage: Eukaryota; Metazoa; Chordata; Aves; Galliformes; Phasianidae. The record is from RNAcentral.